ACGUGGAUUAAUGCCUGAUAGUCUCUACGGAGUAAAUGGUGCCUUCUGGUAUCGCUAGAGGAUGGGCUCGCGGCCUAUCAGCUUGUUGGUGAGGUAAAGGCUCACCAAGGCGACGACGGGUAGCUGGUCUGAGAGGACGAUCAGCAACACUGGAACUGAGACACGGUCCAGACACCUACGGGUGGCAGCAGUCGAGAAUCAUUCACAAUGGAGGCAACUCUGAUGGUGCAACGCCGCGUGGAGGAUGACGGUCCUAGGAUUGUAAACUCCUGUCAUUGGGGAGUAAGACUUAAGCGUUAAGAGCGUUUAAGUUUGAUAGUACCCAAAGAGGAAGGGACGGCU
RNAcentral lists this ribosomal RNA (342 nucleotides) under uncultured bacterium. RNAcentral's name for it is "bacterial SSU rRNA". It matches the Rfam family "Bacterial small subunit ribosomal RNA", at positions 156 to 498 of the family's 1533-position model. The record is from RNAcentral.